CGAUGGUGAAUUUUUCAAAGUUCACAUUUGCGGCAAACAGAAUUAUUUUGAUACUUACUAAUCUAUUUAUUUUUCAUUUUACAGGUAGUUCAGGCUGCCAAGUUCAGAGAGCUAUUUAGUAUAGCUAACGAUUCCUGUUUUUCUUCACAGUGACAAGCUGCCUUAAGAUAACUCGAGAUGUGUUCUGAGUUUGAGCUCCUUUCUUCCCUUGAAGUGUCCAGUGUUAGCAGAUAAGUCGAGAUUCAGAGAUCAUUAUCGGUUAAUUACCAGCUAGUAUCCCAAAAAAUGCAAGGUCCACGGGCAUCUAAGACACCCACGGUCACAUCCUUUCCUGACCUUGCCGCAGGACAGGGAAUGCUCCUUUUUCCCUGUUCUCCAGGGAAUGCGCUGACCCCACUUCUCUUUACGGAGCGGGUGAUGCUUACGUUGUCCCUGUGUUCGUGUCCUCCGUAAGUUGGUGAGCAUUGUUCAGUGUUCUCCUUUUCCUCUUUCACUUCUCACCUUGGCUGUUACAGCUGCUGGGAAGCCGUCUGGGCAGCCUGAGAAGGGAUGUGGCUCUGGGCUGCCAUGUUGCGUGACUGCAGAGGGCCUCACUCACGCUAUGUUGUGGAUGGCUGCUGACCUGUCCUGAAGUUUGGCAAAGAGGCCACCCUUCUACCGCCCAGAAGCCCAACUCAUCUACUCUUGCUGUACCCCAUGUUUACCACUUCCCAUUGACUUCAGCAUGGAUUGUAAUUGUUUCUUUUCUUGUCCACAUCACCUCAGGAACGGGGACCAUAACACUGAACUUGACCCUGAGAGUAUACUCAGUAAAGGCCCCAGAGGCCUGAAUUGUGCUGUUGAGUUGGGUGGCUGCGGAUCCUGUACUAUUAGCCCAACUCAGUUGUGGUUAGAGGGAUGAUGGAGCUUCCUAGCAGCCAGAGCAAAGGUGAGUCAUUGCUAUCUGGUGAUUGCCGUUUGAUUUAUAGUCAGCACACUGCACCAGCGUGAAGCAAAGGGGUGGAAAGUAAAGUUGGCUUAGAGGCAGUGCUGUGUUCUCCUAUGGAGACAUAGAAAACAAUAGAUUGUACCAUGAAUGAACUCUGAAUAUUCACUUUUAAAAUAUCCAUCCUCCACCCACUGAACCCAAUGAAGUGGCUUUUUAACUUCUCUGGGAGGUAGCAGAGUGGGUAAUAUCUAUAUU
Molecule: long non-coding RNA, 1183 nt
Filed under: Chinchilla lanigera (long-tailed chinchilla)
Lineage: Eukaryota; Metazoa; Chordata; Mammalia; Rodentia; Chinchillidae
Description: lncRNA (ENSCLAG00000023954.1)
Source: RNAcentral